GUGCUUGGGAGGUUACUGACAACACAAAUGUAUACAAUCCAGUUGUAAACUUGUAACAAAGAUUUAUUGACAAGAGCACUGACCUGUGGUAAAAUCUCAUACGCUGGAUGUUUGGCGCCUUCGAACAUCAAAGUGGACGUCGAUUAAACCCGUUAUCCCUGCUGUUAUCUUUUGGCCUGCCCUGACAGAGCCCACGCCUGGAGGAGUACCUGUGAG
This 216-nucleotide unclassified non-coding RNA is filed under the name Hevea brasiliensis (rubber tree). Lineage: Eukaryota; Viridiplantae; Streptophyta; Magnoliopsida; Malpighiales; Euphorbiaceae. The record is from RNAcentral.